AGAGUUUGAUCCUGGCUCAGGACGAACGCUGGCGGCGUGCUUAACACAUGCAAGUCGAACGAUGAAGCCCUUCGGGGUGGAUUAGUGGCGAACGGGUGAGUAACACGUGGGCAAUCUGCCCUUCACUCUGGGACAAGCCCUGGAAACGGGGUCUAAUACCGGAUAAUACUCUGUCCCGCAUGGGACGGGGUUAAAAGCUCCGGCGGUGAAGGAUGAGCCCGCGGCCUAUCAGCUUGUUGGUGGGGUGAUGGCCUACCAAGGCGACGACGGGUAGCCGGCCUGAGAGGGCGACCGGCCACACUGGGACUGAGACACGGCCCAGACUCCUACGGGAGGCAGCAGUGGGGAAUAUUGCACAAUGGGCGAAAGCCUGAUGCAGCGACGCCGCGUGAGGGAUGACGGCCUUCGGGUUGUAAACCUCUUUCAGCAGGGAAGAAGCGAGAGUGACGGUACCUGCAGAAGAAGCGCCGGCUAACUACGUGCCAGCAGCCGCGGUA
This 497-nucleotide ribosomal RNA is filed under the name uncultured Actinomycetes bacterium. RNAcentral describes it as "bacterial SSU rRNA". It matches the Rfam family "Bacterial small subunit ribosomal RNA", at positions 8 to 522 of the family's 1533-position model. The record is from RNAcentral. Lineage: Bacteria; Bacillati; Actinomycetota; Actinomycetes.